CUGUGGCGCAACCCUGUUGCUGCAUGUCUACCUUGUAGGCAGUAGGUUUUCGUUUCAUCUCUAAUUUGGCACACCUGAUUCUACUAAUUAGCUGCUCAGCGAGAACUGUUGAAUAAAGUAUGAUUUGACAGGGUUGGUGUGAUAACCUAGAGGACGGGCGAUCUCCAGAAACAGGGUUCCGUAUGGUAAGGUAGGCCGUGUCCUAACGGUUGCCUACAGCUUAGGGAACGUGUACUCAACAGUAAGUGCGCUGUUUCAGACGCGACCAUAGUAACAGUUCAGUGUUCAGAUAACUACGGUUCAGUUACGAGAACAGAAAUCCCACAGUAGAGACAGGCGAGGUCAAAUAUGCUAUGAAUUGUGAACAGGAAGAACAACUACCUUGCCAUUUUGAUCUGCAAGGCGUCCAAAGGACUGAGAACAGGCGAGGAGGAGAAUUAACGGUGAUCGGCACGACUGAAAUGUGAUCUCUGGAGAUAACUUUUGGGGAGUUGGACAUGUCUUGCCACUUUUGCCACUUGAUUCCAGGUCAACAGUGAGUCAACAGCAGGCUGGGAAUGGAGAGAAAAGGCAUGUUGCUCUUGACUGCCUGGAAAACCCAAAGGCAGGCCAGAGAGAAGCUGUACAGAUGAGGGAGAUAAUUGCAUGUGUGGACACCGCCUGGGUACAAAAUACACCUUGCCUUCAUUUCAGAAGAGUAGCUCGGUGGAGGCAGAGGAAUGAUUCACAUCCAUUCCCUUUAAGAGAAUCUACGACCUUAAGAGACUUUUGUUUCAUCGCUUACCAGGGGCAAUAGGAUAUUCUACUGGGCGGGAACAAAUCUGCUGUUCAGGGCUUGAACAAGAAUUCUUCACUUUCUACCUGUAUCAAUGAAAAACAUGACCGAUGUUCAGCCAACCCUGGCGCAGCGGAAGAGAUGAACACGUUCACUGGCACGGCACGGCUGCGGAGGAUUCAGAUGGAGAGCCUGUCAGCGGCGUAUGAUGUGGUGUGUGGGGUGCGAAGUGCCAGGUAGACUGGACACCUGAGCCCGCGCUAACAGGGACUGGAUCCCUGCUCCAGCUGCCAGUCAAGCACCUGCCUCUAUUCCAUAGUUUCUCCUCAAAAGUAAAGCUGAAAAUGCAGGGGAAUACUUCUGAAGCUGGCAGAUGGCUGCGGCACCCCUCCGUCCACCCCCCGGGGGGAGAAACCAAUCGCUUCGUUCUUUCAGAUUCACAUAGCCUUACACCAACACAGUACAUUCCUUCUUAUCGCACACUUCAGCUCACUUCAUUGGCUCCUUGGCAAAGGAGAUCAUUAAGAGAGAGAGAGAGACCUGCGGAAUACCAAAUGUUGGCACGGCAUAAGAAGUGCAUCCUUGUAACCAACCUGCCACAUACGCAGCGCAAACGCAGCAUGGACAGAAGCGAUAACCAGAGAUAAACAGAACAGAAUUGAACUCAUUCCAAGUCAGCAACCCUUUCAGUGGCUUCCAAGGCAGAACGGCAUAGUACUUUAGCGACACCAUAAAACCUGAAUCGAAAUGAUAGUGGAAACAGCAAUAGCGAAUUAAUUUAAGACCCUUUAUUCAAAAUGAAUCAUUUAUCAGAGGCGUAAUGUCCUGUUAUGUCAUUACAUGGUUGUUUUUUUUUCAUAUUUGAACUAUUCAGACCAUUCUGUUUUGUCCAUUUCAGGUAUAAACCAUACAGAAGCUAUGGAUACACACACCAACAUACACACACACACACCUUGGGUAUGGAUAAUACCUGACAAAAUUAUAGUACCCAUAGAUAUUUACUCACAAGAUAUUCUGUACUUUCCUUUCAAAGAGGUUCUCGUUGGAAACAGGAGGUCCUGGUGCCGUCCACCUUGCAGUGCUAGCUAGUACAUCAAUGUUCUAGCAUUGAUCGACACCAUGAAUAAUCACAGUGAGCCAGUAAAUUAAACCACUGACCUUUUAUUUUGACACUGAGUACACUUUCAGUGUUAA
Long non-coding RNA from Anguilla anguilla (European eel), 1969 nucleotides. RefSeq lists it as uncharacterized. The transcript has 5 exons. Lineage: Eukaryota; Metazoa; Chordata; Actinopteri; Anguilliformes; Anguillidae. The record is from RefSeq and is a predicted model, not a curated record.